GUGCUUGCUUCGAUAGCACAUAUACUAUUGAUAAAAUUGGAACAAUACAGAUUAGCUUGGCCCCUGCACAAGGAUGACGUGCAAAUCAUGAAGUUUUGUGAUGUAAUU
This 108-nucleotide small nuclear RNA is filed under the name Ovis aries (sheep). Lineage: Eukaryota; Metazoa; Chordata; Mammalia; Artiodactyla; Bovidae. The record is from RNAcentral.